RNAcentral lists this ribosomal RNA (252 nucleotides) under uncultured bacterium. RNAcentral's name for it is "partial 16S ribosomal RNA". It matches the Rfam family "Bacterial small subunit ribosomal RNA", at positions 524 to 776 of the family's 1533-position model. The record is from RNAcentral.
UACGGAGGAUGCGAGCGUUAUCCGGAUUUAUUGGGUUUAAAGGGUGCGUAGGCGGGCUUUUAAGUCAGCGGUAAAAAUUCGGGGCUCAACCCCGUCCGGCCGUUGAAACUGGGGGUCUUGAGUGGGCGAGAAGAAGGCGGAAUGCGUGGUGUGGCGGUGAAAUGCAUAGAUAUCACGCAGAACCCCGAUUGCGAAGGCAGCCUUCCGGCGCCCUACUGACGCUGAGGCACGAAAGUGCGGGGAUCGAACAGG